UUAACUAUAUCCAUAUACACCUGUGAACCGUUUGAUUGACACUCUGUGUUAAUUUUACAAACAAUGUGUAAUGAACGUCUAGUUAUUAUAACAAAAAAUAACUUUCAACAACGGAUCUCUUGGCUCUCGCAUCGAUGAAGAACGCAGCGAAAUGCGAUAAGUAAUGUGAAUUGCAGAAUUCAGUGAAUCAUCGAAUCUUUGAACGCAACUUGCGCUCUCUGGUAUUCCGGAGAGCAUGCCUGUUUGAGUGUCAUGAAAUCUCAACCAUUAGGGUUUCUUAAUGGCUUGGAUUUGGGUGUUGCCAGUCUCUUGGCUCACCUUAAAGGAGUUAGCGAGUUUAACAAUGUCGUCUGGCGUAAUAAGUUUCGCUGGUAAGACUUGUGAAGUUUGCUUCUAAUCGUCUUCGGACAAUUACUUUGACUCUGGCCUCAAAUCAGGUAGGACUACCCGC
This 451-nucleotide ribosomal RNA is filed under the name Trichosporon sp. ES15S09. RNAcentral's name for it is "eukaryotic LSU rRNA". The stretch from base 100 to 253 matches the Rfam family "5.8S ribosomal RNA". Lineage: Eukaryota; Fungi; Basidiomycota; Tremellomycetes; Trichosporonales; Trichosporonaceae. The record is from RNAcentral.